RNAcentral lists this microRNA precursor (80 nucleotides) under Jaculus jaculus (lesser Egyptian jerboa). RNAcentral describes it as "miRNA (ENSJJAG00000004572.1)". Lineage: Eukaryota; Metazoa; Chordata; Mammalia; Rodentia; Dipodidae. The record is from RNAcentral.
UCAGGGGCUGGGAAAAUGGCUCAGAAAAUAAGACCAGUUGCUGUGCAAGCACAAGGACCCAAGUCUGACCUCUAGCACUG